GCGAUUGGUUCUGCCCAUCCUGCUGUUGUGGAAUUUGUGGCCUGAGCCGAUUGAAUGAAGACACAGGACGACCUGUAGAUGACAGGCUUAUCAACUGUGGUCAGUGUGAACAUCAGUAUCAUAUAGAGUGCUUAAAAAAGAAGGGUCUUGUUAAGCAUGACUGUCAUCCGGAAAGGAAUUGGUUUUGCAAUGAAAAAUGUGAACAGAUACAUCUGAGUCUCCACAAUCUCCUAGGAAAACCAAUUCCCGUGGGGCAUGAUAAUCUUACUUGGACAUUGUUAA
Molecule: non-coding RNA, 282 nt
Organism: Coffea arabica (coffee)
Lineage: Eukaryota; Viridiplantae; Streptophyta; Magnoliopsida; Gentianales; Rubiaceae
Source: RefSeq, a predicted model, not a curated record